GCCCCUUCUCUUAUUUCACUCGGUAGAAAUUUCUUUCAGUCUUGCUUUUCUAUCUCAAAUGGCUCGUUUCCUUCCCUUUCUCUUCCUCCUCCUACAUGCAACCAUGGCUGCUGCCUUUCAAUUGGAACCUGGUUUUUACUCUCAAACAUGCCCAAAUGCUGAAAACAUCGUAAGGAAAGUGAUGAAGCAGGCCUUGAAGAGAGAACCCAGAAGCGUGGCGUCGGUCAUGCGGCUUCAAUUCCAUGAUUGUUUCGUUAAUGGUUGCGACGCUUCUUUGUUACUAGAUGACACUCCAAACAUGUUAGGUGAGAAGCUGGCGUUAUCAAACAUCAACUCCCUUAGAUCAUAUGAGGUGGUCGACGAAGUUAAAGAAGCCCUUGAACGGGCCUGCCCUGGUGUCGUCUCCUGCGCGGACAUCAUAAUCAUGGCUGCUAGAGACGCUGUUGAAUUGACCGGCGGACCAAACUGGAAAGUGAAAUUGGGACGCAAAGACAGCCUUACUGCGAGCCAAGAAGACUCAAACCAAAUCAUGCCAAGCCCGCGAGCCAACGCCAGCACUCUCAUCAAUCUCUUCAGCAAAUUCAAUCUCUCCAUCACUGAUCUGGUCGCGCUGUCAGGGUCCCACUCAAUUGGGGAAGGCCGAUGCUUCUCCAUCGUCUUCCGCCUCUACAACCAAUCCGGCACAGGCCGGCCUGACCCCUACAUGGACCCACACUUCCGCCAGAAGCUCGAUUGCCUCUGCCCUCUCGGAGGAGAUGGGAAUGUGACUGGGGACCUUGAUGCCACUCCACGCAUCUUCGAUAACCAAUACUUCAAGGACUUAGUUAAUUUGAGAGGCUUCCUCAAUUCAGACCAGACCUUGUUCUCAGGUGACACUCAGACAAGGGAAGUGGUUCAGUAUUUUAGCCAGAACCAAAGUGCAUUCUUCUCUGCUUUUAUUGAAGGUAUGGUGAAAAUGGGAGACUUACAAUCCGGGCGGCCCGGUGAAAUUCGGAGGAAUUGCAGAGUGGUUAACAGCCUGGAGUCAGAGCAGUAUCUUGUUCGGAAUUUGAAAGAUAGAAAACUGCAAUCUGCAGUUGAGAAUCAGUAAGUAGAAUAGUCAGCAACUUCGCUUGCAUUUGAUGAACUUCGCUGAUGCUUUGCUUCCCAGAAAGCCUCCUUUUUCACAUGGUCCAACCAGGCAGGCCUCAACGGAAGAAGGGUCUGGACAAAAAAACCACCGGUCCGGUUAUGAGUACUAUAAACCAAUAUACUCCCAUUCCAUCAAGUGGGCCCCAUGGUUUGCUGAUCCAGAUGGUUGAUUUGGUGGACCCACUAUGUAUGAGGGAAGCCACACACUCUCCAAACCUUUCAGCUAAUGUCCUACCAAUAGAUAGUUAACAGAAAUGUGCAUGAAGUGUCAAAAAUAAAGCCCAAAAAUUGAAGGGCAGGAAUUUCCCA
Molecule: RNA transcript, 1440 nt
Organism: Magnolia sinica
Lineage: Eukaryota; Viridiplantae; Streptophyta; Magnoliopsida; Magnoliales; Magnoliaceae
Gene name: peroxidase 17
Exons: 5
Source: RefSeq, a predicted model, not a curated record